RNAcentral lists this ribosomal RNA (460 nucleotides) under uncultured bacterium. Its description in RNAcentral is "partial 16S ribosomal RNA". It matches the Rfam family "Bacterial small subunit ribosomal RNA", at positions 338 to 795 of the family's 1533-position model. The record is from RNAcentral.
CCUACGGGUGGCAGCAGUGAGGAAUAUUGGUCAAUGGCCGGAAGGCUGAACCAGCCAUGCCGCGUGAAGGUCAGUGCCCUGUGGGCGUUAAACUUCUUUUGUGCGGGAGCAAUAAUCGUCACGUGUGGCCAGACGAGAGUACCGUACGAAUAAGCAUCGGCUAACUCCGUGCCAGCAGCCGCGGUAAUACGGGGGGUGCAAGCGUUAUCCAGAUUUAUUGGGGUUAAAGGGUGCGUAGGCUGUGAGGUAAGUCAGCGGUGAAAUGCCCCCGCUCAACGGGGUGAAGUGCCAUUGAUACUGCCUUGCUGGAAUGCGGAUGCGGUGGGAGGAAUGUGUGGUGUAGCGGUGAAAUGCAUAGAUAUCACACAGAACACCGAUUGCGAAGGCAUCUCACGGAUCCGCGAUUGACGCUGAUGCACGAAAGCGUGGGUAUCAAACAGGAUUAGAUACCCCGGUAGUC